Bubalus bubalis (water buffalo) is the source of this 763-nucleotide RNA transcript. It is a transcript of the gene named transmembrane protein 262, with no coding region annotated. The record is from RefSeq and is a predicted model, not a curated record. The transcript is spliced from 2 exons. Lineage: Eukaryota; Metazoa; Chordata; Mammalia; Artiodactyla; Bovidae.
GGCGGUGAGGGUGGCCGCAAAUGCCAAGGGCAAGAGCAUUUCCGGGAGCGCGCUCAGGGGCAGCCCGGCUGACACCCCCAGGCCCACCAAGAGCGCGGUCAGCACCAGGGCCUGGAAGCCUGAACCGCAGCACAUGGUGCCUCAGGGCUUGGCCCCUUAAAGCUCCUACACAGCUUCUUCUUCUCCUACCUUUGAAGACCAUGGCAUCAAACCACACCCCUUCUUGUUGCCAUCCCACUGUCCUCUUUGCCAUGCCUCUCAGUUGGGGAUCACUCACCUUGAGCAUCCACAAGGAUGAAGCUUAGGACAUUCCUGAUUGUUUGCUGACCUCCUUAAUCCAUCAAUUCCUGCCUCUGUCUCAUCCAUGCCACCCUCUCCUUGCCCUCACUAAGAACUGCCUCCUCUAAAACCUCAAAGCUUCCCUGGUGGUCCAGUGGUUAAGAAUUUGCCUGCCAAUGCAAGGGACACAGGUUCAAUCCCUGGUCUGGGAAGAUCUCACAUCCUGAGGAGCAACUAAGCUGGAGUGCUACAACUUCUGAGUGCACGAGCCGCCAGUUACAGAAGCCUGUGUGCCCUAGAGCUGGUGCUCCCCAGCAAGAGAAACCGCCUCAAUGAAAAGUCUGUGCACUGAAAUGGAUAGUAGUCCCUGCUGGCCACAACUAGACGAAGCUCUUGCAUGGCAACAAAGACCCAGAGCAGCCAAAAAUAAAUAUAUUUUUUAAUUUAAAAACAUUAAAAAAAUAAAAUCAAACUUCAGCUUCAA